GCAUUCCUAACUUCUAACCUUGGAAGGGCACUUUUUUUUUUUCCUAUCGUAAGAGCUCUCUGAAGUCUUGUUUGCAGAACUGUCUGCAAGGCUGCUUGUCACCUUCGAAUAUACUCCAUCAACAUGCUGCCACUUCAUCUUGUUUAGGCUCUUCGACUGCUUUAUAGAAGGACACUGAAGUCCACAUCUAUCUCCUUGAGACAGGCAAAGAAACAAAUCCUUUAUCCUGUCUCAAAAAGAGCUGACAAGCUUUUAGUAGUGUUUAUCUUCACUGAAGGGUGAUAACCUUGAAAAUGAAAGUGAAAAGAGACUGAUACAAUUAGAUAAAGAAACCAGGACUCAAAGAUGAAGUAACUUGUUCAAAGUCUGGCAGCUACUAAGUGACAGAGCUGAAAUUCAAGCCACCAACUACAAGUACAGAUGGACUAAGGGGGCGCAAACCCCCCUGGGUGAAACAACAAAAAGAAAAACAGAUAAAAUAUAUUAAACAACAGCUCUCAAGAUACUAGCAUCAGGCAACAAACCAAAGUGAUCCCUGUGAGAUAGUAAACAAAUGAGGUGAACCCUAUGACAGGUGCAACUUACUGCUUUGCAGAGUUUCCAGGCCAUGACACUAAGAGGAGAUAUCCAAGCAGAGCCCAGUGAAUGACCCAGAUUGAGGAGACAGAGCUGAAAGUCCAAGAAGACCCAAGGCAGCUGGAAUUUGCAAGACCGAGUACCAGAGAAAAGAGGGCUGAGCAGAGAUAGAAUUCCAGAGAUUUGUAAAGGGUCUCCCUUAAGUAUUUAGCAGAGUAUUAAUCAUUGUAGGCAUUUGAGGCAGUUACCUGUGGCCAGGAAAAAAACCACCCAAGAGGAUUAAAGGAAACAGUGUUUUAGCACUCACACAAGGCCAGAAAUAGCCUAUUUUCCCAUCCAGAUUGACUUAACUUCGUAAUUUGUGGGGCUUUGGGUAAAAAAGUCUACUCAUUAGUUAGUCUUACCUCAGUAGUAGGGAAUAAGUAGAUGUAGACUAAACACUAUACUGGUACCACCAAAAAAGCUUUAAAAACAGACUUAAAAGAAGUAAAUGCUUUUCAAGUAAUUUAACUGCAUCCUAGAACAAAAGACAUGCAAUUGGAGUCCCUGAAAGGAGGAUGUGAGAAAAAAUAUUACAGGAAAUAAUGACUAAAAUUGUUUCAAAUUUGAUGAAAGGAUAGACACAAGAAACUCAACAAAACUCAAAGCGUACAAGAAACAUGAAGAAGCCAGGUGCAGUGGCUCAUACUUGUAGUCCCAGCUGCUUGGGAGGCUGAGGCAGGAGGAUCUCUUGAGCCCAGUAGAUUGAAUCUGCAGUGAGCUGUGAACGCACCACUGUACUCCAGCCUGGGAGACAGAGCAAGACCCUAUCAAAAAAAAAAGGAAGAGACAUGAAGAAAACUACACUAAGGCACACAAUAAUCAAACUGCUCAAAAUCAGUGAUAAAGUGAAAAUCUUAAAUGCAACCAGAAGGAAAAAGACAUUAUAUACAGAGAAACAACGAUAAGGAUGACAUUAGAUUUAACUUCAGUAAUAAUGCAAUCCAGAAAACAGUGGAACAACAUUUUUAAAGUGCUGAAAGAAAAAAGCUAGAAUUCUACUCUCAGUAAAAAUGUCUUUAUAAGAAUUUUUUUCCUUUUUUUCUUUUUUCCUUGAGAUGAAGUCUCACUCUGUUGCCCAGGCUGUUCUUGAACUCCUGAGCUCAAACAACUCUCUGCCUUGGACUCCUAAAGUGCUGGGUGGGAUUACAGGCGUGAACCACCGUGCCUGGCCAGGACAUUUUUGGACAUACGAAGCUGAAAGAGUUCAUCACCAGCAAAUCCAUACUACAAAAAAUGUUAAAGAAAUUCUUCAGGCAGAAGAAAAAUACCCUAUAUGAAAAUUUUAAUCUGCACAAAUAAAUGAAGAGAACCAAAAAUGGUAAUACAUGGCAUGAUUGUUAAUUUUAUGUGCCAACUUAGUGGCCAUGAGGUGCCCAGAUUAAACAUUAUUCCUGGAUGUGUUUGUGAGGGUGUUUCUGAAUGAGAUUACAUUUGAAUCAGCGGACUCAGUAAAGUAGAUUGCCCUCCCAGUGUGGAUGGGCCUCAUCCAAUCUGUUAGGAGCCUAAAUGGAAUAAAGUGUGGCAGAAAGGAAAAUUCACCCCUUUUGCUUCCUGCCUGUCUGGUUGAACUGAGACAUCUCAUCCCAUCUUCCCUAGCACUCAGAUUGGGAUUUACAACACCAGGUCCCUUGGUUCUCAGGCCUUUGGACUUGGACUGAAUUACACCACUGCUUUCCGCGGUCUCCCAACUCGUGGAUGGCAGACUGUGGGACUUCUUAGCCUCCAUAAUCAUCGGAGCCAAUUUCUCAUAAUAAACAUAUUUACUAUACCCUACUGGCUCUGUUUCUUUGGAGAACUCUGACCAAUACACAUGAGUAAAUACAUAAAGUAUUUUUUCUUAUUUACAUCUAUUAAAAGAUAGUUGACUGUUUACCCAACAGUAGUAACAAUGUGUUUGGGGGUUUAUAAUAUAUGUAAAGGUGAAAUGCAUAAUACUAACAGCAUAAAUGCAGGCAAGGGAGAAAAGGAAGUCUACUGUUAUAAAUUUAUUGUACUAUACAUGAAGUCC
This 2626-nucleotide long non-coding RNA is filed under the name Homo sapiens (human). RNAcentral's name for it is "HSALNT0045396". The record is from RNAcentral. Lineage: Eukaryota; Metazoa; Chordata; Mammalia; Primates; Hominidae.